ACCGACGAGGGUGACUAUCAGGUCAAGAUGAAGAACCUGACACGAUUCCUCGAAGGUGGCGACAAGGGCAAGGUCACGUUGCGCUUCCGCGGUCGCGAGAUGGCCCACCAGGACAUCGGUCGCAAGCUGAUGGAGCGCAUCGCCGCCGAUCUCGAGGAGAUCGGUACUGUCGAAUCCUUCCCCAAGAUGGAAGGGCGUCAGAUGAUCAUGAUUAUUGCCCCCAAGAAGAAGUGAUCCGGCGGCCGGUCAAACGGGUGGCGGGCGUGAUGCCCGCCAUCGGCCCCGGGUUUUCUCAAAAACCUCGAGCGGAGUUCAACUCAUGCCGA
Molecule: unclassified non-coding RNA, 326 nt
Filed under: Halomonas caseinilytica
Lineage: Bacteria; Pseudomonadati; Pseudomonadota; Gammaproteobacteria; Oceanospirillales; Halomonadaceae
Description: Long range pseudoknot
Source: RNAcentral